GGGCCCGCACAAGCGGUGGAGCAUGUGGUUUAAUUCGAUGAUACGCGAGGAACCUUACCAGGGCUUAAAUGUAAGUUGCAUAGAUCAGAGAUGGUCUUUUCUUCGGACUACUUACAAGGUGCUGCAUGGUUGUCGUCAGCUCGUGCCGUGAGGUGUCAGGUUAAGUCCUAUAACGAGCGCAACCCCUGUCGUUAGUUACCAGCAAGUAAUGUUGGGUACUCUAGCGAGACUGCCGGUGCAAACCGUGAGGAAGGUGGGGAUGACGUCAAAUCAUCACGGCCCUUACGUCCUGGGCUACACACGUGCUACAAUGGCCGGUACAGAGAGCAGCCACUACGCGAGUAGGAGCGAAUCUUCAAAGCCGGUCUCAGUUCGGAUCGGAGUCUGCAACUCGACUCUAUG
Molecule: ribosomal RNA, 402 nt
Filed under: uncultured bacterium
Lineage: Bacteria
Description: bacterial SSU rRNA
Rfam family: Bacterial small subunit ribosomal RNA
Source: RNAcentral